GACGAACUGUCCUAACGUUGUUCGGAAUCACUGGGCUUAAAGGGCGCGUAGGCGGUCGACCAAGUCAGGGGUGAAAUCCUGCAGCUUAACUGGGGAACUGCGUCCGAUACUGGAUGGCUUGGAUUUGGGAGAGGGAUGCGGAAUUCCAGGUGUAGCGGUGAAAUGCGUAGAUAUCUGGAGGAACACCGGUGGCGAAGGCGGCAUCCUGGACCGGCAUUGACGCUGAGGCGCGAAAGCCAGGGGAGCAAACGGG
RNAcentral lists this ribosomal RNA (253 nucleotides) under uncultured bacterium. RNAcentral's name for it is "partial 16S ribosomal RNA". It matches the Rfam family "Bacterial small subunit ribosomal RNA", at positions 524 to 776 of the family's 1533-position model. The record is from RNAcentral.